GACCGGUCUGUUUCGUUUGCGAAAGAAAGGAAUCUAGCCCUAUCUGCAGAAGCUUUGGGAAUGUCUUCUUUGCAUAGCAGAAUGCGUGAGUUCCUGAACACUUCAAUCAUACCUCUCUACUGACAAUGGAAGUAGAAUCCAUACCCCAUAGAGCCCUAUGGGGUCACCUUACGAGCAGAUGUGUUCACAACUGCAAAUGAUCAAACAUCUGGGAAAUGUAUGGUUCGCAAUCAUUUCUAAAAACUUCUCUCUCGUGGAUGGAACAUUUAUAAAAGCAAAAAGAGCUGCAAAGACAUCUAUCAGUUUGGAUAUGAAAUAGUCUCAACUGGAUUUUUUGAAAGUGCAUUUUAAGCUGGGAGGGAGGGGUAGAAAACAUGACAGCUGACACGUGUAUAUCAGGAUACGCUGGGAACUGCAUUGAGGAGUGUUUACCUGCUCUUCCACCAUUCUACAAAGAGAAACGUGGAACGUAUUGGCAGUCUCCAAAGAGACUCAUUCAGGACCACAGAUUUGCACAACCUUCUCUGGAAACAAAUGGGGUGACAAUUCUUUUCGAUAUCUUUGCCAGUUUCUCUAUGCUUGGUUUUAAAAGGGUGUGUUUGCCUUGUAAUCGUGGGCACCAGAGGGAAGAAUAUGGGGCUGCUUGGUUUUAAAGCAGGGAUGGGUAAUCUGUGGCACUGCGGAUGUUGGGACUACAUACCCCAUCAUCCUUGACCAUUGCCCAAGUUGGCUAAAGCUGUUGGGACUUGCAGUCUGACAUCAUCUGGAGGGUCAACCCCUAUCCCUGGGUUACUGCUAAAGAGGAGGAAAUGUGUCCCCACCCACAAAGUGAAAUGAGCAUGGUUUGGGGAAAUGGCCUUAAUCACAUCUACUAUCAUGGUCUGUAAUGGUUAAACUUACUGAACCAAACCUAUAUCUGAAAUCUCUAAGGAUGAUCUCUCAGUGGCUUUUACAAGUUUUUUCUCCAUCGGCUUCACUAUGGCUUGCCGUGAACGAACAAGCUUGCUUGUGCCCAAAGAGAAAAUUGUGCCUGCGUUUCUCCUCCUGCAACCAACUGUUGAUGUUCCAUGGUUUCUCUCGCUCC
This 1084-nucleotide long non-coding RNA is filed under the name Podarcis lilfordi (Lilford's wall lizard). Lineage: Eukaryota; Metazoa; Chordata; Lepidosauria; Squamata; Lacertidae. The record is from RNAcentral.